UACGGAGGGUGCAAGCGUUAUCCGGAUUCACUGGGUUUAAAGGGUGCGUAGGCGGGCAGGUAAGUCAGUGGUGAAAUCUCCGGGCUUAACCCGGAAACUGCCGUUGAUACUAUCUGUCUUGAAUAUCGUGGAGGUAAGCGGAAUAUGUCAUGUAGCGGUGAAAUGCUUAGAUAUGACAUAGAACUCCGAUUGCGAAGGCAGCUUACUACACGAUCAUUGACGCUGAGGCACGAAAGCGUGGGGAGCAAACAGG
This 253-nucleotide ribosomal RNA is filed under the name uncultured bacterium. RNAcentral's name for it is "partial 16S ribosomal RNA". It matches the Rfam family "Bacterial small subunit ribosomal RNA", at positions 524 to 776 of the family's 1533-position model. The record is from RNAcentral.